UGUGUGUGUGUGUGUGUGUGUGUGUGUUGUGGAUUUGGAUCAAGGAAGGAGAUGGCGUGGGGAUGAGGCAGUGGGUGGAGGAAGAGGGCGAUGCCGGCGGACGGAGGGGGCGGAUCUUGAUCCAGGCCGCCCCUCGUGUCUGAUUUGUUCGUUGAGAUGAUCUUCUCUCUUCCCAUCUCCCCCUCUCUUCUCUCACUGACCCCAUCUCGUCUCUGCGGGUAGAGCGGCGUGAGGAGCAGGCCAACAUCUCUCUUUACCUCCACCAAACACCAACAUGGUUGAGAGCAUAAAUGCAUCAUUCAUCCAUCAACCCAUCUAUAGAUCCAGGAUGAUUGCUUACAUCUAGCCAGGUCUGACUAUCUUGUGAUGGUGAUUCUAGCAAAGAUAGCAAAGGUAAUGAUGCAGCAAAAAUGACGGGAGCGACUCUCAACAUUCAGAAACAUUUAGAUUUCACAGUUUAA
Long non-coding RNA from Hordeum vulgare subsp. vulgare (domesticated barley), 461 nucleotides. RefSeq lists it as uncharacterized. The transcript has 3 exons. The record is from RefSeq and is a predicted model, not a curated record. Lineage: Eukaryota; Viridiplantae; Streptophyta; Magnoliopsida; Poales; Poaceae.